Molecule: ribosomal RNA, 547 nt
Filed under: uncultured fungus
Lineage: Eukaryota; Fungi
Description: eukaryotic LSU rRNA
Rfam family: 5.8S ribosomal RNA (bases 209-362)
Source: RNAcentral
AAGUCGUAACAAGGUUUCCGUAGGUGAACCUGCGGAAGGAUCAUUAAAGAAUGCCCCGUUUUUUGAAAUGGGUUCUGUUCCCAAACCGUGUAUACAUACUUUUGUUGCUUUGGCAGGCCGCCUUCGGGCGUCGGCUCACGCUGACAGCGCCUGCCAGAGGACCCAAACUCGUUUGUUUAGUGAUGUCUGAGUACUAUAUAAUAGUUAAAACUUUCAACAACGGAUCUCUUGGUUCUGGCAUCGAUGAAGAACGCAGCGAAAUGCGAUAAGUAAUGUGAAUUGCAGAAUUCAGUGAAUCAUCGAAUCUUUGAACGCACAUUGCGCCCCUUGGUAUUCCGAGGGGCAUGCCUGUUCGAGCGUCAUUAUGACCACUCAAGCCUAGCUUGGUAUUGGGGUUCGCGGUCCCGCGGCCCUUAAAAUCAGUGGCGGUGCCAUCUGGCUCUAAGCGUAGUAAUUUAUCUCGCUAUUGGGUCCGGUGGUUGCUUGCCAACAACCCCUAACUUUUAAGGUUGACCUCGGAUCAGGUAGGGAUACCCGCUGAACUUAA